ACUUUUAAAGGAAAACAGCAUUCCACUAAUUUUAGGCAUUAACCACUCUUGGCGCAACUCCAAGUAAAAGUA
RNAcentral lists this transfer RNA (72 nucleotides) under Lucasium damaeum (beaded gecko). RNAcentral describes it as "tRNA-Leu". Lineage: Eukaryota; Metazoa; Chordata; Lepidosauria; Squamata; Diplodactylidae. The record is from RNAcentral.